This 429-nucleotide ribosomal RNA is filed under the name Acidobacteriota bacterium. RNAcentral's name for it is "Acidobacteria bacterium partial 16S ribosomal RNA". It matches the Rfam family "Bacterial small subunit ribosomal RNA", at positions 355 to 776 of the family's 1533-position model. The record is from RNAcentral. Lineage: Bacteria; Pseudomonadati; Acidobacteriota.
UGGGGAAUUUUGGCCAAUGGGGGAAACCCUGAUCCAGCCAUCCCGCGUGUGCGAUGAAGGCCUUCGGGUUGUAAAGCACUUUUGGCAGGAAAGAAACGUCAUGGGUUAAUACCCCGUGAAACUGACGGUACCUGCAGAAUAAGCACCGGCUAACUACGUGCCAGCAGCCGCGGUAAUACGUAGGGUGCAAGCGUUAAUCGGAAUUACUGGGCGUAAAGCGUGCGCAGGCGGUUCGGAAAGAAAGAUGUGAAAUCCCAGAGCUCAACUUUGGAACUGCAUUUUUAACUACCGGGCUAGAGUGUGUCAGAGGGAGGUGGAAUUCCGCGUGUAGCAGUGAAAUGCGUAGAUAUGCGGAGGAACACCGAUGGCGAAGGCAGCCUCCUGGGAUAACACUGACGCUCAUGCACGAAAGCGUGGGGAGCAAACAGG